This 31-nucleotide non-coding RNA is filed under the name Mus musculus (house mouse). Lineage: Eukaryota; Metazoa; Chordata; Mammalia; Rodentia; Muridae. The record is from RNAcentral.
UGGGACGGUUAGUUAUCCUCUAUUGGAGCCA